This 3605-nucleotide unclassified non-coding RNA is filed under the name Hevea brasiliensis (rubber tree). The record is from RNAcentral. Lineage: Eukaryota; Viridiplantae; Streptophyta; Magnoliopsida; Malpighiales; Euphorbiaceae.
GGGAAAUUGCAUAAGUUCUACAUUUAACAAUCAUUCCAAAGCAAAUGAAAUUUGAACUCAGCUUAUGCAUGGCAACCCCAGUGUUCAAAAAAAAACUAUGUUAAUUAUAUGCUAUAGAAAGAAUGAAGUGGCUAAUGUAAUAUAUCCCUCUUUUCUCUGUUUUUUUGGUUAAAUAAGCACCAAGUCCCUCAAGCGUACAACAAAAAUCUAUGUCAAUUCUCAACUCUCUCAGAAUUCACAAACUUGAGCAGAACACCAUCAAGUCCCCAGAGAGAGUUGCUCUGCUUAGAAUUGCAGCCAGAUGAGCCUAACGCAACUGCCCCAGCUUUUGUGUAAAGGUGCAUUUGACCUCACCAAAAUGCAGGACUAAAUUGCAGAGUUAAAUAAGACCACAAUCAUUUUUUUUAAUGAAUUUUCACUCACAAAAGCACUAUCAGCACUCAAUUCGAACAGCACCACUCUCUGAUGAAAUGAACUUGGGUUUCCUAACUACUUGCUCCAAGCAUUGGAUGACAUCCCCAAUCUGGAAAUCAUCACAAUCACAGAGCACAAGUCCACAUUCAUUUCCUUUCCCUACUUUUUCCACAUCCUGCUUCUCUCGCUUGAGAGACUUGCAAGAUCCUUCAAACACAACUUCCCCACUCCUUAGAAGCCUCAUGAUUGCUGAUUUGGUAACAUGGCCAUCUAUCACCCUGCAGCCAGCAAUCGUCACAUCAGCUCCUACAGACUUGCUCCUCCCCUUGAGCUCAAAGAUAUUCAGCACUUCAGCCUCCCCAGCUACCUGGGUCUCAAAAGUUCCAGGGGCCUUUUCCACUAUUAAUUUGCCAGCUUCCUCCAAAAGGUGAUAGAUCACACGGUGUUGCAUUAUCUUUAUCCUGGCUUGAGUUGCAGCCAAACUAACAGAGCUAGGUGGAGUCUUCACAUUGAAUCCAACUAUACAAGCACCACAGGCUUGUGCCAAGUCCACAUCAGACUGAGAAAUAGGCCCAACACCAACAUGGACUACAUUCACAAAAACCUGGGGACUAUUUAAAGUCUUUAGUGCAUCUGUUACAGCCUGGACAGUUCCCUGCACAUCUGCUUUUACAAUUAUUGGCAUUUCAAUCCUCUCAGGCACAGGCAUGUCAUCUGAUACUUCUGUACUUUCUGUCGUUUCAUCAAUCAUCUGCAUAAGUCUAUCUUUCUCAAAUUUCCUUUUCCUCCCUGCACUAAGCAUCCUAGCUCGCUCUUCAGAUUCCACAACAACAAUAUCAUCACCAGCCAUAGGAAGCCCCUUAAGCCCCUCAAUCUCAAUCGGCAUUGCUGGUUUAGCCCUAUCAGUUAACUUCCCUACCAUGUCCCUAAUAGCUCUUAUUCUGCCCCACUCAGAACCCACAACCACAUGCUGUCCACAAACCAAAGUCCCUGCUUUCACUAUUGCAGUAACCAAUGGACCACGUCCUUUGUCAAGUCUAGCCUCUACUACAUAAGCUUGAGCAGGGCCAUCAACACGCGCUUUUAGGUCCAUAAUCUCCGCCUGAAGAAGUAAAGCCUCCUCCAAAUCAUCCAAUCCAGUAUUUUUAACAGCUGACACUUCAACAACUUGAACAUCCCCACCCAUCUCCUCCAGCUGCAAGCCCUCCGAUGCAAGCUGGAUUUUAACUCUCUCUGGAUUGGCUGCUGGUUUGUCACAUUUAUUAAUUGCAACUACAAUUGGUACAUUAGCUGCUUUAGCAUGGGACAUGGCUUCAAGAGUUUGAGGCAUCACCCCAUCAUCAGCAGCAACAACAAGCACAACUAUAUCUGUCACUGCUGCACCUCUUGCUCGCAUCGCACUAAAAGCAGCAUGACCAGGAGUAUCAAGGAAUGUGAUUGAUGACCCUGAUGGCAUGCCCACAACAAAAGCACCCAGAUGCUGAGUUAUCCCCCCAGCUUCCUUGGCUGCUACUGAUGUUUGACGCAAAGCAUCUAAAAGUGAAGUUUUACCAUGGUCAACAUGUCCCAUGACAGUCACAACAGGAGGACGUGGAAGAAUUUCUGCACCUUUGUUGGAGUGUUGCCUCCUGACUUUGAUCCCAACUUCCUGCAUAUUUAAUAUAAAGAAAUCCCCUUUAAGUUUUCAAAGCAGCUGAAACACAAGUGACCAUGGUGAUCUUGGGGGGAAAGGGACAAAAGAAAAAGAGAAAGUCAGGGGCCUAAAACCUAGCUCAGGAAUCCUAGAGAGACCACGUCUAUGGUUAGCAUCUGAAAGCCAACAUAAAUUUGUUGUUUCUAAUCCUUACACUACAACAAAGUCAUGCGUCAUAAUUAAUAUACAUUGUCAAACAGCCUGCAGUAAUUGUCAAACAACAAUACCAUAUAAUCAAAUACCACGGAAAACAGAUUAAUUCCUUUGGCAGCAUAUUGUGACUAUUUAAAUUUGCUUUCAGGUAAAAAAUUGAGAACUGGAUAUAAAAUGAAUUUUUCCAAUUUUCUGUCAUCUUUGAGUUUGUAUGAUGAAAAGCAUUAUAUAAGUCUUGCAACUAAGAAAGGGAAAUACCAUUCCAACCAGCUCUGCAACAUCAAUGCUGAGGGGAUCAAAUUCAGAACCAGCCUUUUCCCCAACAUUGACAAGAAUAUCCUGCAGAGUGGCAAUGGACUCACCAGUGCGCUUUGCAAGCUCAACGACAGUCAUGCCUUCAAAUAUGUCCACUGUUUUAUCUAGCAAAGACUUGGUAUUUCUUUUUAGUUUAGGAGCCACAUAUGGAGCUUCAACAGGCGGCUGGGUCUUGUUUCUAUUCUUUUUCUUAAACUUUCCUUUAGUUUGGAUCUUCAAACCAACAGGCUCAUCAUUAUUUCUUCUUCUAGCCAACAGUUCUGGAGUGGCAUGAAAACACCGUAUGAAGGAUUCAUUCAUAGAGAAAAUGUGAUGACCUCGUAAAAAUGAGCUGAAAGAAAACUCAAGUAUGCCUCUAACUGGGGCAGAAACUGAUUUCUCUGCAACGUCAAGAUUGCAUUUAGAAGUUAAACCCACAGCAUGGCCCCAUGAUGGUGAAGUCCAAGCUCUAAUCAGAUCAACAUGAAGACACCUUUUCCGAGCUGCUCCCCAAGCCAUUCAUAUGCUUCUUAGACUCUACAAAACCCAAUGCAGAGGGAGAAUUUAAGAAAAGAAACAGCAAUUACGAACCAUAGCAAAAGGAUUGAAGAAACAAAAUCACAAUUAAAAAUUCUCAUUCUUUUUGAGGUAAACAAUUGACAAAAUUUUAAUAAAAUUUCCUUCAAUGUAUUCAUCUACGUAGUCCUCUAAAAAUAUACACUUUUAUGGUAUAUGAGAAGCAGCCCGUGAUUAUUGAAGAAUGAAAUUCAAAACCCAGCUACGAAAAGUAAAUUAAAUACUUACAAAUCAGAAUACCGUCGUAAAGUCGCAGCAACUCAUAGAAGAAUGCAGCACCCUCGAAUAGCUCUUUAACAAAGGGGGACUGUAUCAAAGAUAUAUAAAUUAUUAAAGAAGGAUACUUACAAUAUUUUAGAGCUGUGACUCGAAGUCUAUCGAGCUGCUGUAGCGAUUUUAAUGGGGGCAAGUUCGCUCUUUUCUCUUGCCCAUGAAACUCUUCAGGAAGUAAAACCCCAGGUCGAAUCUGGGUUUG